This 229-nucleotide ribosomal RNA is filed under the name uncultured bacterium. Its description in RNAcentral is "partial 16S ribosomal RNA". It matches the Rfam family "Bacterial small subunit ribosomal RNA", at positions 524 to 751 of the family's 1533-position model. The record is from RNAcentral.
UACGUAGGGUGCGAGCGUUAAUCGGAAUUACUGGGCGUAAAGCGUGCGCAGGCGGUUUUGUAAGCCAGAUGUGAAAUCCCCGGGCUUAACCUGGGAAUGGCAUUUGGGACUGCAAGGCUUGAGUGCGGCAGAGGAGACUGGAAUUCCUGGUGUAGCAGUGAAAUGCGUAGAUAUGCGGAGGAACACCGAUGGCGAAGGCAAUCCCCGUGGACCUGUACUGACGCUCAUG